Molecule: transfer RNA, 74 nt
Filed under: Culex quinquefasciatus (southern house mosquito)
Lineage: Eukaryota; Metazoa; Arthropoda; Insecta; Diptera; Culicidae
Description: tRNA-Thr
Rfam family: tRNA (bases 10-67)
About the family: Transfer RNA (tRNA) molecules are approximately 80 nucleotides in length.
Source: RNAcentral
GAACGGCCUUGGCUGACUGGUCACGGUGUUCGCUUUGUAAGCGAAUAGUCCUGGGUUCGAUUCCCAUCUGCUCC